AUACGUAGGGUGCAAGCGUUAUCCGGAAUUAUUGGGCGUAAAGGGCUCGUAGGCGGUUCGUCGCGUCCGGUGUGAAAGUCCAUCGCUUAACGGUGGAUCCGCGCCGGGUACGGGCGGGCUUGAGUGCGGUAGGGGAGACUGGAAUUCCCGGUGUAACGGUGGAAUGUGUAGAUAUCGGGAAGAACACCAAUGGCGAAGGCAGGUCUCUGGGCCGUUACUGACGCUGAGGAGCGAAAGCGUGGGGAGCGAACAGGAUUAGAUACCCUGGUAGUCCACGCCGUAAACGGUGGAUGCUGGAUGUGGGGCCCGUUCCACGGGCUCCGUGUCGGAGCUAACGCGCUAAGCAUCCCGCCUGGGGAGUACGGCCGCAAGGCUAAAACUCAAAGAAAUUGACGGGGGCCCGCACAAGCGGCGGAGCAUGCGGAUUAAUUCGAUGCAACGCGAAGAACCUUACCUGGGCUUGACAUGUUCCCGACGGUCGUAGAGAUGCGGCUUCCCUUCGGGGCGGGUUCACAGGUGGUGCAUGGUCGUCGUCAGCUCGUGUCGUGAGAUGUUGGGUUAAGUCCCGCAACGAGCGCAACCCUCGCCCCGUGUUGCCAGCGGAUUAUGCCGGGAACUCACGGGGGACCGCCGGGGUUAACUCGGAGGAAGGUGGGGAUGACGUCAGAUCAUCAUGCCCCUUACGUCCAGGGCUUCACGCAUGCUACAAUGGCCGGUACAACGGGAUGCGACGCGGCGACGCGGAGCGGAUCCCUGAAAACCGGUCUCAGUUCGGAUCGCAGUCUGCAACUCGACUGCGUGAAGGCGGAGUCGCUAGUAAUCGCGAAUCAGCAACGUCGCGGUGAAUGCGUUCCCGGGCCUUGUACACACCGCCCGUCAAGUCAUGAAAGUGGGCAGCACCCGAAGCCGGUGGCCUAACCCCUUGUGGGAUGGAGCCGUCUAAGGUGAGGCUCGUGAUUGGGACU
This 965-nucleotide ribosomal RNA is filed under the name uncultured bacterium. RNAcentral's name for it is "bacterial SSU rRNA". It matches the Rfam family "Bacterial small subunit ribosomal RNA", at positions 523 to 1482 of the family's 1533-position model. The record is from RNAcentral.